GGCUGGGUAGCUCAGCUGGUUAGAGCGCGGGAUUCAUAACCCCGAGGUCGAGUGUUCAAGUCCCUCUCCAGCCACCA
Molecule: transfer RNA, 77 nt
Filed under: Acidobacteriota bacterium
Lineage: Bacteria; Pseudomonadati; Acidobacteriota
Also listed under: 3 other names
Description: Acidobacteria bacterium tRNA-Met
Rfam family: tRNA
About the family: Transfer RNA (tRNA) molecules are approximately 80 nucleotides in length. Their secondary structure includes four short double-helical elements and three loops (D, anti-codon, and T loops).
Source: RNAcentral